UGGGGGAUAUUGCACAAUGGGCGAAAGCCUGAUGCAGCGACGCCGCGUGGGGGAUGAAGGCUUUCGGGUUGUAAACCUCUUUCGCUAUCGAACAAGGCCCGCUUAGGGUGGGUUGAGGGUAGGUGGAGAAGAAGCGCCGGCUAACUACGUGCCAGCAGCCGCGGUAAUACGUAGGGCGCGAGCGUUGUCCGGAAUUAUUGGGCGUAAAGGGCUUGUAGGCGGCUUGUUGCGCCUGCUGUGAAAACGCGGGGCUUAACUUCGCGCGUGCAGUGGGUACGGGCAGGCUUGAGUGUGGUAGGGGUGACUGGAAUUCCAGGGGUAGCGGUGGAAUGCGAAGAUAUCUGGAGGAACACCGAUGGCGAAGGCAGGUCACUGGGCCAUUACUGACGCUGAGGAGCGAAAGCAUGGGUAGCGAACAGG
Molecule: ribosomal RNA, 420 nt
Filed under: bacterium
Lineage: Bacteria
Description: partial 16S ribosomal RNA
Rfam family: Bacterial small subunit ribosomal RNA
Source: RNAcentral